GACGAACGCUGGCGGCGUGCCUAAUACAUGCAAGUUGAGCGCUGAAGGUUGGUACUUGUCCCGACUGGAUGAGCAGCGAACGGGUGAGUAACGCGUGGGGAAUCUGCCUUUGAGCGGGGGACAACAUUUGGAAACGAAUGCUAAUACCGCAUAAAAACUUUAAACACAAGUUUUAAGUUUGAAAGAUGCAAUUGCAUCACUCAAAGAUGAUCCCGCGUUGUAUUAGCUAGUUGGUGAGGUAAAGGCUCACCAAGGCGAUGAUACAUAGCCGACCUGAGAGGGUGAUCGGCCACAUUGGGACUGAGACACGGCCCAAACUCCUACGGGAGGCAGCAGUAGGGAAUCUUCGGCAAUGGACGAAAGUCUGACCGAGCAACGCCGCGUGAGUGAAGAAGGUGUUCGGAUCGUAAAACUCUGUUGGUAGAGAAGAACGUUGGUGAGAGUGGAAAGCUCAUCAAGUGACGGUAACUACCCAGAAAGGGACGGCUAACUACGUGC
RNAcentral lists this ribosomal RNA (498 nucleotides) under uncultured bacterium. Its description in RNAcentral is "partial 16S ribosomal RNA". It matches the Rfam family "Bacterial small subunit ribosomal RNA", at positions 28 to 508 of the family's 1533-position model. The record is from RNAcentral.